This is a small nuclear RNA of Ailuropoda melanoleuca (giant panda), 107 nucleotides long. The record is from Ensembl. Lineage: Eukaryota; Metazoa; Chordata; Mammalia; Carnivora; Ursidae.
GUGCUCGAUUCGGCAGCACAUACGCUAAACUUGGAACGACAUGGAGAACAUUAGCACGGCUCCUGAGAAAGGACGACAUGCAAACUCAUGAUGGGAAACACUGCUGU